RNAcentral lists this long non-coding RNA (643 nucleotides) under Homo sapiens (human). Its description in RNAcentral is "HSALNT0080350". The record is from RNAcentral. Lineage: Eukaryota; Metazoa; Chordata; Mammalia; Primates; Hominidae.
GGAGGAGCAACUUCCUGGGCAUGCGUGUUAAGAGACAAAAUCGUGGAGUAUGGCCUUCUGGGGGCACAUUGCCGGGUGAGGGAAGAAAGCCUCAGAUGGGAAUGGAUAUAACUUCCUAAACACACCGUGCAUGCUCACUUCCUAAAGGAUGGAUAAAGCAACUUGGAACCAAUUAAAAAUAGCUGGGUCUGGUGUCAGGCGACGUGGAUCACAUCAUUUCACCUGUCUCAGCCUCAGUAAUCACUUAGAGAUCCCAUAGCUAAAGGCUUAUAGGCAGAAUGGACUUGCCUUGUCUCAGAUGAGACUUUGGACUUGGAAUUUUGGGUUAAUGCUGGAAUGAGAAGACUUUGGGAGACUGUCGGAAAGGAAUACAAAGAGAAGUCAACCACUUACAAACCAGGAAGAGAGCCUCACCAGAAACUGACUUUGCUGGUACCCUGAUCUUAGACUUCCCAGCCUCCAGAACUGUAAAAAAUAAAUUCCUUUGUUUAAGCUACUCAGUCUGUGGUAUUCUGUUAUAGCAGCCCGGACUAAGACAACUAAGUAAUUUGACUUCAUUCACACAGGUAGUUAAGUAGUAGAACCAGGAAGUGAACCAGAUCUGCCUGAUGUCAAAUACUAUAAAUUCUUGUUUUCUAAUGUG